Molecule: long non-coding RNA, 652 nt
Organism: Lathyrus oleraceus (garden pea)
Lineage: Eukaryota; Viridiplantae; Streptophyta; Magnoliopsida; Fabales; Fabaceae
Exons: 2
Source: RefSeq, a predicted model, not a curated record
AAACAUGAAAACAUAGGGUUAGCAACAAAAGCAUGAAAACUUAGGAACUCAUGAGAAAGCAAAGAAAAAAUCGAACGCAGAAGAAGGCAAAGACAAAUUAGUUUAUCAUCUAGGAUUUCUCAUAUUCAUCUUCACGGUCGAAAGUCUAAAAAUAGUCCACCAAUGCCUACAACAAAUCCAUCUCAAACUAUUGAUUUGGACAAACAUGAAGAUGGUAAUGUUCAAAAGAAAAAGAAAAAGAAAAGAAAAGUUAGAGAAGUUGGUGAUUCUAAUGAUAAUGAUUCUAAUGAUGGAGUCCAAGUAAACAAAAAUCGUAUAGUCCUAAAUCUUGGGUUUGAGAUCAUUUUACAAGAGACACUUCGGGUACUCGGGCUAAGUGUAAUUGGUGUACAAAAUCGUAUGUUGCUGAUUCACACAAAAAUGGAACCACCAACAUAUGUUGCAUCAAUGUAAAAAAAUUCUCAAGAGUGUUCUUGAUCCUACUCAAACCACUCUUAGCCUUUAAGAAGGAGGUAAAGGAACUAGUAAUGCACUUGUUGGUAUCCAUUUUGGUAUUAAACUGUGUAGACAAGCUUUAGCUAGAAUGAUAAUUGUGGAUGAGUUGCCUUUUUUGUUUGUUGAAAAUGAAGUAUUUGUUAUUUUAUGAGUGUUA